RNAcentral lists this ribosomal RNA (263 nucleotides) under uncultured bacterium. RNAcentral describes it as "partial 16S ribosomal RNA". It matches the Rfam family "Bacterial small subunit ribosomal RNA", at positions 514 to 776 of the family's 1533-position model. The record is from RNAcentral.
GCCGCGGUAAUACGUAGGUGGCAAGCGUUGUCCGGAUUUACUGGGUGUAAAGGGCGUGCAGCCGGAGAGACAAGUCAGAUGUGAAAUCCACGGGCUCAACCCGUGAACUGCAUUUGAAACUGUUUCCCUUGAGUGUUGGAGAGGAAAGCGGAAUUCCUAGUGUAGCGGUGAAAUGCGUAGAUAUUAGGAGGAACACCAGUGGCGAAGGCGGCUUUCUGGACAAUAACUGACGUUGAGGCACGAAAGUGUGGGGAGCAAACAGG